Molecule: non-coding RNA, 21 nt
Filed under: Arabidopsis thaliana (thale cress)
Lineage: Eukaryota; Viridiplantae; Streptophyta; Magnoliopsida; Brassicales; Brassicaceae
Source: RNAcentral
CGCCAAUCAGCUUCCUUGCGC